CAGCAGCCGCGGGAAUACGUAGGUGGCAAGCGUUGUCCGGAAUUAUUGGGCGUAAAGGGCUCGCAGGCGGUUUCUUAAGUCUGAUGUGAAAGCCCCCGGCUCAACCGGGGAGGGUCAUUGGAAACUGGGAAACUUGAGUGCAGAAGAGGAGAGUGAAAUUCCACGUGUAGCGGUGAAAUGCGUAGAGAUGUGGAGGAACACCAGUGGCGAAGGCGACUCUCUGGUCUGUAACUGACGCUGAGGAGCGAAAGCGUGGGGAGCGAACAGGAUUAGAUACCCCCGUAGUCCCUGUCUCUUAUAA
This 301-nucleotide ribosomal RNA is filed under the name uncultured bacterium. RNAcentral describes it as "partial 16S ribosomal RNA". It matches the Rfam family "Bacterial small subunit ribosomal RNA", at positions 509 to 809 of the family's 1533-position model. The record is from RNAcentral.